This 337-nucleotide unclassified non-coding RNA is filed under the name Spizellomyces sp. RNAcentral's name for it is "partial internal transcribed spacer region". The stretch from base 1 to 46 matches the Rfam family "Eukaryotic small subunit ribosomal RNA", at positions 1786 to 1831 of the family's 1831-position model. Lineage: Eukaryota; Fungi; Chytridiomycota; Chytridiomycetes; Spizellomycetales; Spizellomycetaceae. The record is from RNAcentral.
AAGUCGUAACAAGGUAACCGUAGGUGAACCUGCGGUUGGAUCAUUAAAAAAUAACAAUAGCCUGUCAUGGCCAGGUGCUCCCGGAAUGUUUGGAAAGUCAAACAUUGCGGACCCGCGCGCCGUGAUUCGUGGCACCACAUUUUGUGAACUGUUCUGUCUUUGGUGGUGGGGUGAAACGCUUUUUUCGGCCUUCGCCUGUCAGCUCUGAUGUAAAGGUCUGAGCCGUGGACAAGCCACCGACCAUGUGUUUAAACCUAUGUUUUUGUUUUUUUGUCUGACAUUUUUACUUUGUAUUUUAAUAUACAAACAACUUUUGGCAACGGAUCUCUUGGGUCUC